RNAcentral lists this ribosomal RNA (475 nucleotides) under uncultured archaeon. RNAcentral's name for it is "bacterial SSU rRNA". It matches the Rfam family "Archaeal small subunit ribosomal RNA", at positions 864 to 1337 of the family's 1478-position model. The record is from RNAcentral.
AUUGGCGGGGGAGUACCACAACCGGUGGAGCCUGCGGUUUUAAUUGGAUACAACGCCGGGAAUCUUACCGGAGGGGACAGCAGUAUGAAGGCCAGGCUAAAGACCUUGCCAGAUCAGCUGAGAGGAGGUGCAUGGCCGUCGCCAGUUCGUACCGUGAGGCAUCCUGUUUAGUCAGGCAACGAUCGAGACCCGCAGUCUUAUUUGCCAGCAUGCCCUUUGGGGUGUAUGGGUACAAUAAGACGACCGCCAGCGCUAAGCUGGAGGAAGGAGCGGGCUGCGGUAGGUCAGCAUGCCCCGAAUCCUCCGGGAUACACGCGGGCUACAAUGGUCAGGACAAAAGGUACCGACCUCGAAAGAGUGAGGUAAUCCACAAACCUGAUCUCAGUCCGGAUCGAAGGCUGCAACUCGCCUUCGUGAAGAUGGAAUCGGUAGUAAUCGUGACUCAAAAUGUCACGGUGAAUAUGUCCCUGCUCCU